RNAcentral lists this ribosomal RNA (501 nucleotides) under Lactiplantibacillus plantarum. RNAcentral's name for it is "bacterial SSU rRNA". It matches the Rfam family "Bacterial small subunit ribosomal RNA", at positions 90 to 577 of the family's 1533-position model. Lineage: Bacteria; Bacillati; Bacillota; Bacilli; Lactobacillales; Lactobacillaceae. The record is from RNAcentral.
AGUGAGUGGCGAACUGGUGAGUAACACGUGGGAAACCUGCCCAGAAGCGGGGGAUAACACCUGGAAACAGAUGCUAAUACCGCAUAACAACUUGGACCGCAUGGUCCGAGCUUGAAAGAUGGCUUCGGCUAUCACUUUUGGAUGGUCCCGCGGCGUAUUAGCUAGAUGGUGGGGUAACGGCUCACCAUGGCAAUGAUACGUAGCCGACCUGAGAGGGUAAUCGGCCACAUUGGGACUGAGACACGGCCCAAACUCCUACGGGAGGCAGCAGUAGGGAAUCUUCCACAAUGGACGAAAGUCUGAUGGAGCAACGCCGCGUGAGUGAAGAAGGGUUUCGGCUCGUAAAACUCUGUUGUUAAAGAAGAACAUAUCUGAGAGUAACUGUUCAGGUAUUGACGGUAUUUAACCAGAAAGCCACGGCUAACUACGUGCCAGCAGCCGCGGUAAUACGUAGGUGGCAAGCGUUGUCCGGAUUUAUUGGGCGUAAAGCGAGCGCAGGCG